AUACGUAGGGUGCAAGCGUUGUUCGGAUUUACUGGGCGUAAAGAGAUCGUAGGUGGUUUAUUAAGUCGGAUGUGAAAUCCCGGGGCUCAACCCCGGAACUGCAUUCGAUACUGGUAGACUAGAGUUUGGGAGGGGUAAGCGGAAUUCCGUGUGUAGCAGUGAAAUGCGUAGAUAUACGGAGGAACACCUGAGGCGAAGGCGGCUUACUGGACCAAUACUGACACUGAGGAUCGAAAGCGUGGGUAGCAAACAGGAUUAGAAACCCCUGUAGUCC
This 274-nucleotide ribosomal RNA is filed under the name uncultured bacterium. RNAcentral's name for it is "partial 16S ribosomal RNA". It matches the Rfam family "Bacterial small subunit ribosomal RNA", at positions 523 to 796 of the family's 1533-position model. The record is from RNAcentral.